RNAcentral lists this ribosomal RNA (253 nucleotides) under uncultured bacterium. Its description in RNAcentral is "partial 16S ribosomal RNA". It matches the Rfam family "Bacterial small subunit ribosomal RNA", at positions 524 to 776 of the family's 1533-position model. The record is from RNAcentral.
UACAGAGGGUGCAAGCGUUGCUCGGAUUUACUGGGCGUAAAGCGUACGCAGACGGUGAGAAAGGUCGGAUGUGAAAGCCCCGGGCUCAACCCGGGAACUGCAUCCGAAACCAUCUCGCUAGAGUAUGGGAGAGGGAAGCAGAAUUCCUGGUGUAGAGGUGAAAUUCGUAGAUAUCAGGAGGAAUACCUGCGGCGAAGGCGGCUUCCUGGCCCAUUACUGUCGUUCAGGUACGAAAGCGUGGGUAGCAAACAGG